UACGUAGGGGGCAAGCGUUAUCCGGAUUUACUGGGUGUAAAGGGAGCGUAGACGGCGAUGCAAGCCAGAUGUGAAAGCCCGGGGCUCAACCCCGGGACUGCAUUUGGAACUGUGUGGCUAGAGUGUCGGAGAGGCAAGUGGAAUUCCUAGUGUAGCGGUGAAAUGCGUAGAUAUUAGGAGGAACACCAGUGGCGGAGGCGGCUUGCUGGACGAUGACUGACGUUGAGGCUCGAAAGCGUGGGGAGCAAACAGG
This 253-nucleotide ribosomal RNA is filed under the name uncultured bacterium. RNAcentral describes it as "partial 16S ribosomal RNA". It matches the Rfam family "Bacterial small subunit ribosomal RNA", at positions 524 to 776 of the family's 1533-position model. The record is from RNAcentral.